UAAUAAUUCUAUGAUGUAAUCAUUUAUUUACACGCACCUUAAAAAUAUUAUGAUAAUAUGAUAUAAAUUAUACACAGCACAAUUAUAAUUCUAUAAUAACAUAAUUUAUUUAGACAGAACAUGCUGAAAAAAUGUUUAUACACCUUUGUAAAAAUAACAUAAUGUAAUGAUCUUAAUCCAAGAGCAGUUUUCUAAAUUAGUGUUUAGCAGAAGGCAUAAGAAUCCACAUAGAUUGGAAGAAGGGAGAAAUUAAUUAAAGUUUUACUCUUUUAAUUGUUAUCCUCAGAUCUUUCGAUUUUAUUUAGUGGAUGCUCUCAUCUAGUAAAUGUGUACGCCGGUAGUUAUUGCAUUCCUCUACUAGAAUUGGAUAUGUGAAUGGAGGAGUUUUAUACAGUGAAAAUAAUUUAAAAGCAGCCCACUCCGACCCUCUGUUCCUACAGCUGAGGUCUGUCUGCGUGCCAGAGAUUUAGAGGAGACGCCUUUACCAGGCAGACGAGAUAACUACAUCUGUGCCACUUUAGACGGUGAUUCAGACUUCAGCUGAAAUAAAAUCCUUGUUUUCUCUUUCUGUAGCGUGGCUUCCAAGACCAAGUUCUUUGAGAAUGCUUCCAAGCAUGGAGCCAGGUGAGCAACCGUCUUGCAUUCAAUUAUCUUUAUCGUCAAUUGUAAAAUAAAAUAAAGCACCUUGAUUUAUUUCUGUGAGAAAUCACUUCAUACGAAAAGACAUGAACCCAAACAAAUGCUUAACAUUCUAAUUCUGCUUUUCUUUAUGAAGUCCAAAUGCGGCAGCAACAAUGAAUGUCAAAAAAGAGAACGCAGGGUGAGUCUCCCAGUCACCGGGACCACACCAUCUCGUUCUGGGUUGUUUUGGACCAAAGGACCAGAGGAAAUGCCCAGGAGAAGCUGCCAGCGAGUCCAUUUUGGAAAGUGGGAUACUUUCAGAGCAUUACUUUGCUCUCCAAAAGGUUUUCUGUGUCACACUAACGCUGCUUCAAAGGCUCGUCUUCCUGGUGCUUGUUCUAGCGCUUACAAAGUUAAACUGAGGUACAGAUGAAACAUCCCUCGUUACUCCUUGGUUCAACCCCAGCAUGAUACCCCCCAACAUUUUUCCAUGCCAUUAAAAGUUCUUAAUCGCCCCAUUGGGUUUUGACUCCUGUUUGAGUCUUGCUUGUUUCCCUGUUCAUGUGGUUUGUGCCAAUUUAUUUUUCCUCGGCUUAAACCAACAGGUACACACCCUCCCUCAUACUGCAUUUGUUGGAAUGCAAUUAAUACAAUUGCAAUUAAUGCUAAUUUGAAUCGUCUAAAGUGACAAAUCUGUGGUACGUUUUUUGUUUCUGUAUGUGAAAGCACCGUUGAAUAAAUACUUUGUGUUUAUUUUUUAACUUUAUAAUAGGUUUAAUAGUCUACCUGGUGAUUCAUAUGUUGGACAAUGGGCAGAUUGUAAUGAAGGAUUGGUUGGCCUAUUGUUUAGAUUUAAAAGUCGGACCAGCAGAAAAAUCUGUAGUCUGGUACUUAAUCCAAGGAUACAAAGAGUUCUCAUCUAUUCAGACUUGCUUCAGAACUUCGAGCAUUAAGUGAAACUGGUUCCCAACCGCUUUUUCUCUUUCUUUGUAAGUUUUGGAACUAGGUUUUGAUUCAUUGUGUCUGUAAAUCAUAAAGCAAUUAACAGUGUCUGGGAACUGCAGUUACCUUUAUGGUUGACCAAAAUAAAAGCAUAUUUUGGUAGGUGUACAAAACGAAUCCCAGUUACUUUAACAAAAAGCUGUUCACUCUAUUUUGUGGUGCGUGGUGUGCUUUGCCAGACUAGCUUUGGGUUGUACAGUUACAUAAUAAUGGAGCCACAGUCAGUAAGCUAAAUAUGGGAGGAAAAGCAUCGUUAAAGUAAACGAUACAUCUCCCGCAGUGUUUAAUUGUUGUUGUUGCAUUACAUGUUUUCUUUUGAUUUGUUUGGCUUUUCAGGACUCACUUUCAAUGAUUUGUUUUUAUAUUCAAAAGGGACAAUAAAAUACAAUUUAUUGACACUAUUUGGUUGCCUUUGUUUCAAUUUAGAAGUGGUUCAUUGUUGAUCAACAGGCAGAUGAAGCCCGCUGGGUUAUUUAUUAAACUAGUGUACAGUAGUUCAUUUAGUAUGAAGGACAACGUUUAUUUCUGGUAUAGCUUAAUGUUAAUAUGCUACUGAAAUUCAAACCAGGAAAGAAAUAUAGAGAAGAAAAUCCAUAAUCAGUCAGAAUUGCUUUAAUUGUCUUUAAAAAGGUGGUGCAGCUCUAUAAUUAUUGUAAAACACAAUUCACAAAAGGUAAAAAUCAUUCAAGAAAGUACUUUUAAAGUCAAAACACCAAACGGACAGAUCAUCAAUCAAUAUAUACAUAGAAGCAUCAUGUACAAAGAACCAGGUUCAUAGAUCGUACAUUCUGCACAUACCAAUUGACAUUGUGUCGUAAAACUGCAGCAGAAACAGUAUUUCAGAUUACAUACAAAUAACAUUGAAAUAACAGUAUUUCAAGUUGGCUCAGUGAGCUAAGGUGCAUGCUGUGUCAUCAGCAUGUGUUCAAACAAGUCUCAUACAUGCUGUUUUCCCCAACCCCUCCACAUCUGACCCGGUCAACCGUGUUUUAGGUCAGAAGGUAAAGCUGCACUAUUCCACGUUGCACCACUAGGUGGUACCGUGAGCCCGCUGUGUAAACCCGCCCUCCCUCCUAUUGACAGCUGUGACAUUGAUUGCUUUCUAAAGCUCCCGAUUGAGCGCGACAACAGUUUUUCUCCGUGUUUUGAGGACAUCUUUUGGCAAUAGUACUGCAGGAUGGGAAAGCUACUGCAGGAAAUUUGGACUGCGCGGAACGGGCCGUUUACUGACAUUUCUGCGUCACUUUGUGGGAUUUGCGGACCGAAGUUAAAAGGCGUCGUUGCUACGGAGCCCCGCUACGUUGUUAGGGACCCCCGCUACGUUGUUAGGGGCACCGCUACCCAGCGUUCCUCCUGAAAUGACCCGAUACGUCUUCAGCGGACAGUGUGAUUAAAAAAAACAGACCAACGGAAUCGUAGAAGCUUACCCUAAGCCCUGACACCAGGAAACAUGCUUGUUAUGCUGACAUGAAAGACUUUCGGUGGACCGUUUCAUCCCCAGCCACAUUGGAGGACAUUUUGUUUUCUUUGAGUUCUGUAAUUGUGGAUUAUGGUUUACGUAAUGUAUCAGAAGAAGUUCAGAAGUUCAGAGGUCAUAUCUUCAAUAGGGACAUUUUGAUGUUAUACACACAAACUUCGUUUGUUGUACUUUUGCAUUUGAACACGUUUGCUU
Long non-coding RNA from Gadus chalcogrammus (walleye pollock), 3295 nucleotides. RefSeq lists it as uncharacterized. The record is from RefSeq and is a predicted model, not a curated record. Lineage: Eukaryota; Metazoa; Chordata; Actinopteri; Gadiformes; Gadidae. The transcript is spliced from 3 exons.